GUCGGUAAAACUCGUGCCAGCCACCGCGGUUAAACGAGAGGCUCGAGUUGAUAGCCUUCGGCGUAAAGAGUGGUUAAGGAACAAUUAAACUAAAGUCGAAUUUUCUCAAGGCUGUUAUACGCACCCGAGACCAUGAAGCCCAAGCACGAAAGUAACUUUAAAUAUCCUGACGCCACGAAAGCUGUGAAACAAACUGGGAUUAGAUACCCCACUAUG
Molecule: ribosomal RNA, 216 nt
Filed under: Fundulus pulvereus (bayou killifish)
Lineage: Eukaryota; Metazoa; Chordata; Actinopteri; Cyprinodontiformes; Fundulidae
Also listed under: 1 other name
Description: partial small subunit ribosomal RNA
Source: RNAcentral